Callithrix jacchus (white-tufted-ear marmoset) is the source of this 2123-nucleotide non-coding RNA. NCBI's taxonomy places the organism in Eukaryota, Metazoa, Chordata, Mammalia, Primates, Cebidae. The record is from RefSeq and is a predicted model, not a curated record.
UCUGCUUCUCUGCACUAUGUCCAGUGGCCUACUGAAGGCGCUGUGCAGCGACACCUACCUGGAGCUGAGCCAGUACCAGGACUAGCAUUUCCAGAGUGACAAUGAAAAUCAAGAAAAAUUACUGAAGAAAAGCUGUAUGUUAUAGGUUGGAAAUCUUUCUUUUUACACAACUGAAGAACAAAUCUAUGAACUUUCAGCAAAAGUGGUAACAUAAAGAAAAUCAUUAUGGGUCUAGAUAAAAUGAAGAAAACAGCAUGUGAGUUCUGUUUCGUGGAGUAUUACUCACGAGCAGAUGCAAAAAAAUGCUGUGCAAUACAUAAAUGGAACUCGUCUGGAUGACUGAAUCAUUCACACAGAUUGGGACGCAGGCUUUAAGGAGGGCAGGCAGUAUGGCCGUGGGCGAUCUUGGGGCCAGGUACAGGAUGUGUAUAGGCAGGACUAUGAUGAUGGGAGAGGAAGCUAUGGAAAACUGGCACAGGACCAGUGAGUGGAGAGAGCUCCAUUAGUGAAAAAACUCCUUUGGCCUGCUGAAUUUGUUGAGGAACAUCACCUAAAGUCUGCAAAUGAGCCCAUUUUUGCCAAGCUUUGAUCAGUGCCUAAGCUGGAAGCCUCUUCAUGAUUUUCCUCUGAAAGUUAUUAAAGGACAGAAUCCAAAAGAAUGCCUUUAAUUCUUGUCUGAGAAUCUUGGCCAUGUGUCAGAUUAUCAGAAUAGUUUUGUUACCGGGUCAGAAAUUAUGUUCUUUGACAAUGGAUUGGAUCUAUAAUGUUGAUUAGUCUUUAGCCAAAACCACUACACUUCUUUUAGGAAGACUAGAAAAAUCAAAAAAUUAGUUUUUACCAUAUUGAGUCUUAAGUAGGUUCAUGAUCUACAUUGAGGCCUGGAGUUAUUUUUUAAAUUUUAAGUUUGCACGAGAUAAAGCCUAAAUGGAGAUGGGGCCAGGCAUGUCUCACACCUGGAAUCCCAAUACUUUGGGAGGCUGAAGAGGAAGGAUAGCUUGAGGCCAGGAGUUUGAGACCAGACUGGGCAACAGAGCAAGACCACCUUCUCUACAAAGCAAAACAUAAAACAAAACAAAUGGAGUUGUGCCAUGUUGUAUUGCUUUGCACUGAAUUAGUAACAGGUGUUUGACAACGGAAUUUGUUUUCUAUGAAUGUUAAUCUCUAAAGGAAAGCUUAGAGGUCAAGGACCUUCCUAAAUAGUUGGUGCAAAAGCAGUCUACACAGGACAGCCCUGCUUUCAUGCUAUACACAUCAGGAAAUGAGGCCAGAACUUGAGUAUUUACUAACACAUUUUUCAAAAGACGUCAAUGUUAUACCUAAAGCUAAAAAGGGAAAGAGUUUGUCAUAGAGAGAACCUCUAAAUAAUUUCAGGAGUAUGGGAGACACUGUCAAUAGUAAAUGGGAUAACAUAUCAAGAGACAGUGAACGCUGCCUUGACAUGAGGACCAUCAAAUUUAUACUUUCCAUUUUCAGUGAUGUCAGGAAUGGAGUAGGUUUAAAAAAGGAGCUUGAAGAUUAAAUGUUUAACAUAAAUAAUCACAGACAUUUCCUGCAGGAGAUGCCUCUUUUAGCCAUUUCUCGUGGUGAAGUCUGUUUUAUGUUUUUCCUCAAAUUAUACUUACUGAGGCUCAAGCCUUCACAGUGAGCUAAUGGUCUCUACAGAGAAGGGGAGUCUAAGAAUUUUGUUUUUUAUUUGUAAGGCAAGAGGUGAUUUCUCUCUAAUAUAUGUGAGUUAUUGCUCAUUUAAAACUGUUAGUCUAGUAUAAUUUUCCCUGAUAUGAAAAACAUGUGAAUUUUUUUCAUGUAGCAACAAAGUACCUUUUAACUUCCAAUGGUCUGUGAAAGUAGGGGCUGCAGUACCUUAGUAUGAAUGUCUCUCAUGUUAAAGUGAGCAUAAAAUUUGAAUUUUUAAAACAGCUGUAUCUAGUUGUAAGUGCUUAGGAAGAAACUAUGCAAACAUUUAAUGAGGAGACACUGUUCAUUUUAAAAAUUCCUUUACAUUGUAGUUUAAACUAGUGUAUUUUAUAUUCUUUUAUAGUAAAACAUAACUCAGAUUUCUACAGUAGACACUGCUUUUAUUUGAAUUGUUUUCUGUAACACGUUUCAAUAAAGUUGGACGAACU